UCCAUUGUUGAAGAUUUUAGCAAGCCAACCACCGUUGUUUGUACUAAUACAAUGGCACGUAGGGUGGUUCUUCCAUUUAAAUACUGAUUUCUCAAGGGAACAAUCUUAGUGAUCUUAAUUUCCAACUAUUCAAUCAUGGGAAACGGGAAAAAACAGCCAUCUACGCUAACACCAGACAGCUCAAACACCCCAUUCGAGGUAUAUAUCAAUAACAUUGGAAUUUGUUGGGUUGGAUGAAUCACAACCGUUGCACUAUGGGAUGGAUGGAUAUGGGAUGGAUAUGUGGACUUUAAUGUAUUUUUGUGGACUUUAAGGUAUUCAUUUGGCUUGAAUGUAUUUGUGGGAUUUUUUGUGGAUUUAAUGUAUUUAUGUGGCUUGAAUGUAAUCCAAUGAAUUUUUGUGGAUUUAAUGGUAUCUAGGUGAAAAUUUGUGGAUUUAAUGUAAUCUAACGUUUUUUUUUUUU
Carya illinoinensis is the source of this 463-nucleotide long non-coding RNA. RefSeq lists it as uncharacterized. The transcript has 2 exons. The record is from RefSeq and is a predicted model, not a curated record. Lineage: Eukaryota; Viridiplantae; Streptophyta; Magnoliopsida; Fagales; Juglandaceae.